RNAcentral lists this ribosomal RNA (253 nucleotides) under uncultured bacterium. RNAcentral's name for it is "partial 16S ribosomal RNA". It matches the Rfam family "Bacterial small subunit ribosomal RNA", at positions 524 to 776 of the family's 1533-position model. The record is from RNAcentral.
UACGGAGGGGGCUAGCGUUGUCCGAAGUUACUGGGCGUAAAGCGCGCGUAGGCGGGUUGGUAAGUCCGCUGUGAAAGCCCGGAGCUUAACUCCGGAGGGUCGGUGGAUACUGCCAGUCUUGAAGGUGCUAGGGGGAGAUGGAAUUACCGGUGUAGCGGUGAAAUGCGUAGAUAUCUGGAGGAACACCGGUGGCGAAGGCGGCAUCCUGGACCAACACUGACACUGAGGAGCGAAAGCCAGGGGAGCAAACGGG